UUAGGAAUCUUCCACAAUGGGCGAAAGCCUGAUGGAGCGACGCCGCGUGAGGGAUGAAGGCCUUAGGGUUGUAAACCUCUAAAAGAGGGACGAUAAUGACGGUACCUCUUGAAUAGCACCGGCUAACUCCGUGCCAGCAGCCGCGGUAAUACGGAGGGUGCAAGCGUUAUCCGGAAUCACUGGGCGUAAAGGGCGCGUAGGCGGUCUGUUAAGUCCGAUGUUAAAUCCCGGGGCUCAACCCCGGAUAAGCGCUGGAUACUGGCAGGCUAGACGGGUGGAGAGGCGAGUGGAAUUACCAGUGUAGCGGUGGAAUGCGUAGAUACGGGUAGGAACACCCAUUGCGAAGGCAGCUCGCUGGACAACACGUGACGCUGAGGCGCGAAAGUGUGGGGAGCAAACC
Molecule: ribosomal RNA, 400 nt
Filed under: uncultured bacterium
Lineage: Bacteria
Description: bacterial SSU rRNA
Rfam family: Bacterial small subunit ribosomal RNA
Source: RNAcentral